CCUACGGGUGGCAGCAGUGAGGAAUAUUGGUCAAUGGGCGCGAGCCUGAACCAGCCAAGCAGCGUGAAGGAUGACUGCCCUACGGGUUGUAAACUUCUUUUAUAAAGGAAUAAAGUGAGGUACGUGUGUCUUUCUGUAUGUAUCUUACGAAUAAGGAUCGGCUAACUCCGUGCCAGCAGCCGCGGUAAUACGGAGGAUUCGAGCGUUAUCCGGAUUUAUUGGGUUUAAAGGGAGCGUAGGUGGGUUGAUAAGUUAGUGGUGAAAAUUUGCGGCUCAACCGUAGAAUUGCAGUUGAUACUGGCCGUCUUGAGUGCAGUUGAGGUAGGCGGAAUGCGUGGUGUAGCGGUGAAAUGCUUAGAGAUCACGAAGAACUCCGAUUGCGAAGGCAGCUUACUAAGCUGCCACUGACGUUGAUGCUCGAAAGUGUGGGUAUCAAACAGGAUUAGAUACCCGUGUAGUC
RNAcentral lists this ribosomal RNA (460 nucleotides) under uncultured bacterium. RNAcentral describes it as "partial 16S ribosomal RNA". It matches the Rfam family "Bacterial small subunit ribosomal RNA", at positions 338 to 795 of the family's 1533-position model. The record is from RNAcentral.